This 157-nucleotide ribosomal RNA is filed under the name Thelephora cf. ganbajun. Its description in RNAcentral is "5.8S ribosomal RNA". It matches the Rfam family "5.8S ribosomal RNA". Rfam says of the family: 5.8S ribosomal RNA (5.8S rRNA) is a component of the large subunit of the eukaryotic ribosome. The record is from RNAcentral. Lineage: Eukaryota; Fungi; Basidiomycota; Agaricomycetes; Thelephorales; Thelephoraceae.
AUACAACUUUCAGCAACGGAUCUCUUGGCUCUCGCAUCGAUGAAGAACGCAGCGAAAUGCGAUAAGUAAUGUGAAUUGCAGAAUUCAGUGAAUCAUCGAAUCUUUGAACGCACCUUGCGCCCUUUGGCAUUCCAAAGGGCAUGCCUGUUUGAGUAUC